This 792-nucleotide ribosomal RNA is filed under the name uncultured Lactobacillus sp. RNAcentral describes it as "bacterial SSU rRNA". It matches the Rfam family "Bacterial small subunit ribosomal RNA", at positions 28 to 776 of the family's 1533-position model. Lineage: Bacteria; Bacillati; Bacillota; Bacilli; Lactobacillales; Lactobacillaceae. The record is from RNAcentral.
GAUGAACGCCGGCGGUGUGCCUAAUACAUGCAAGUCGAGCGCACUGGCCCAACUGAUAUGACGUGCUUGCACUGAAUUGACGUUGGAUUCCCAGUGAGCGGCGGACGGGUGAGUAACACGUGGGCAACCUGCCCUGAAGCGGGGGAUAACAUCUGGAAACAGAUGCUAAUACCGCAUAACAACGAAAACCACAUGGUUUUCGUUUCAAAGAUGGUUUCGGCUAUCACUUCAGGAUGGGCCCGCGGUGCAUUAGCUAGUUGGUAAGGUAACGGCUUACCAAGGCGAUGAUGCAUAGCCGAGUUGAGAGACUGAUCGGCCACAAUGGAACUGAGACACGGUCCAUACUCCUACGGGAGGCAGCAGUAGGGAAUCUUCCACAAUGGGCGCAAGCCUGAUGGAGCAACACCGCGUGAGUGAAGAAGGGUUUCGGCUCGUAAAGCUCUGUUGUUGGAGAAGAACGUGCGUGAGAGUAACUGUUCACGCAGUGACGGUAUCCAACCAGAAAGUCACGGCUAACUACGUGCCAGCAGCCGCGGUAAUACGUAGGUGGCAAGCGUUAUCCGGAUUUAUUGGGCGUAAAGCGAGCGCAGGCGGUUGCUUAGGUCUGAUGUGAAAGCCUUCGGCUUAACCGAAGAAGUGCAUCGGAAACCGGGCGACUUGAGUGCAGAAGAGGACAGUGGAACUCCAUGUGUAGCGGUGGAAUGCGUAGAUAUAUGGAAGAACACCAGUGGCGAAAGCGGCUGUCUGGUCUGCAACUGACGCUGAGGCUCGAAAGCAUGGGUAGCGAACAGG